GUGUCAGCAGCCGCGGUAAGACGUAGGGGACGAGCGUUGUCCGGAUUCAUUGGGCGUAAAGCGCGCGUAGGCGGCUACGCAAGUCGGGUGUGAAACUCCGGGGCUCAACCCCGGAACUGCACCCGAUACUGCGUGGCUAGAGGUAGGUAGGGGAGAUCGGAAUUCCUGGUGUAGCGGUGAAAUGCGCAGAUAUCAGGAGGAACACCGGUGGCGAAGGCGGAUCUCUGGGCCUUACCUGACGCUCAGGCGCGAAAGCUAGGGGAGCGAACAGGAUUAGAUACCCUGGUAGUCCUAGCCGUAAACGUUGGGUGCUAGGUGUGGGCGGAUAUCGACCCCGUCCGUGCCGAAGCUAACGCAUUAAGCACCCCGCCUGGGGAGUACGGCCGCAAGGCUAAA
Molecule: ribosomal RNA, 396 nt
Filed under: uncultured bacterium
Lineage: Bacteria
Description: bacterial SSU rRNA
Rfam family: Bacterial small subunit ribosomal RNA
Source: RNAcentral